GAUGAACGCUGGCGGCGUGCCUAAUACAUGCAAGUCGAGCGAACAGAUAAGGAGCUUGCUCCUUUGACGUUAGCGGCGGACGGGUGAGUAACACGUGGGUAACCUACCUAUAAGACUUGGAUAACUUCGGGAAACCGUAGCUCAUACCGGAUAACAUUUGUAACCGCAUGGUUCUAAAGUUAAAUAUGGUUUUGCUAUCACUUCUAGAUGUCCCCUCGCCGUAUUAGCUAUUUGGUAAGGUAACGGCUUACCAAGGCAACGAUACGUAGCCGACCUGAGAGGCGGGUAGGCCACACUAGAAGGGAGACAGGGUCAAGACGACUAAGGGAGGCAGCAGAAGGGAAUGGGCGGCAACGGGGGAAAGUAUGACGGAGUAAGGGCGAGUGAGUGAUGAAGGGGUCGGGCGCGGAAAAAUGGGUUACUAGGGAAGAACAAAUGUGUAAGGAGAUGUGCACGUUUUGACGGUACCUAAUCAAAAAGCAACGGCUAACUACGUG
Molecule: ribosomal RNA, 497 nt
Filed under: uncultured bacterium
Lineage: Bacteria
Description: partial 16S ribosomal RNA
Rfam family: Bacterial small subunit ribosomal RNA
Source: RNAcentral